Molecule: ribosomal RNA, 2867 nt
Filed under: Drosophila pseudoobscura pseudoobscura
Lineage: Eukaryota; Metazoa; Arthropoda; Insecta; Diptera; Drosophilidae
Description: eukaryotic LSU rRNA
Rfam family: Eukaryotic large subunit ribosomal RNA
Source: RNAcentral
AUCAUUUAUGGUAGUUACUUGUUCCCCGGAUAGUUUAGUUACGUAGCCAAUUGUGGAACUUUCUUGCUAAAAUUUUUAAGAAUACUAAUUGGGUUAAACCAGUUAGUUCUUAUUAAUUAUAACGAUUAUCAAUUAACAAUCAAUUCAGAACUGGCACGGACUUGGGGAAUCCGACUGUCUAAUUAAAACAAAGCAUUGUGAUGGCCCUAGCGGGUGUUGACACAAUGUGAUUUCUGCCCAGUGCUCUGAAUGUCAAAGUGAAGAAAUUCAAGUAAGCGCGGGUCAACGGCGGGAGUAACUAUGACUCUCUUAAGGUAGCCAAAUGCCUCGUCAUCUAAUUAGUGACGCGCAUGAAUGGAUUAACGAGAUUCCUACUGUCCCUAUCAUGCUGCUCAAAGGCAUACUUAGACGGCCGCCAGUGGUACGGUUUGCUGGAGCAAGCCUGCCAUAUAAGCGCAAGUAUCGGUACCUAGGCAUCACGGUCGGCGAGCGGUUGAGUUUUCUCCCGCACAUCACGGGCUUGCGUGAUAAGCUGACCGGAGUCGUAGGGGCAUUGUCGCGCGUACUGCGGGUCGACUGGGGACUCAGUCCCCGCGCAAAGCGGACAAUAUAUGCCGGACUCAUGGUGCCCUGUGCACUAUUUGGUGCCUCGGUUUGGUCUGUCGUGACGACGACGCAAGUGGUUGCCAGGAGGCAUCUGCUUGCGUGCCAAAGGAUCGUCCUGAUUGGAUGCCUACCGGUAUGCCGAACAGUGUCCACCAUGGCACUGCAAGUACUAGCUGGAGCCCCCCCGUUUGAUCUGGCUGCCAGACGCCUGGCAAUCAGCUUCAAGCUAAAGCGUGACUACCCGCUGGAGGAGAGCGAUUGGCUGUACGGCGAAGAUUUGGCAAAUCUUAGCUGGAAGCAGAAGAUGGCGCGACUAGACGAAGACCUGUUGUGCGAGUGGCAACGCAGAUGGGAUGAUGGUGACUCCCCAGGACGGGUGACGCACCGCUUCAUCCCGAACGCAGGCUUCGUCUACAGCGAACGAAGGUUUGGCUUCACGCUGCACGCUGGGUUCCUGCUGACGGGCCACGGAUCGCUCAAUGCAUUUCUGCAUGGAAGAAGCCUUAGCGACACGCCAGCAUGUCUAUGCGGCGCAGAACGCGAGGAUUGGCAGCACUUCCUAUGUGCUUGUCCCCUCUAUACAGACUUGCGAGACCUCGAUGGACUUGGAGUGCAGUACACGGAUGGCGACUGGACCUUCUCCGAUGUGACGGCUUCUCAGGAGAGAAUGCGGACUCUCGACAGGUUCGCCGGACUGGCGUUCUCCAGGCGACAGCAGCUGCUGAAUGCGCAAGCGGCGCACGGGCUGGGUGGAUUCCCUAUCCAGGCCGGUCGGGGCUAAAAGGGAGGAUCGAGCUGAGUCCUUAAGAUCGGUACCACGGGUUGUGCAGUUCCAAGGCUGCACAUUGAGGUCGGCCCCCUAGUGGGAGUAUCGUGGUGGCUGUGGUUGAUACCCAAACGUUACGCGGGAGAGCCGCUAGGCUCCUCGUGGAGUUGCGCUCUCAACCGGGUGCCGAGACCCAUAGAUCGGAAGACGUGUUAGAUACACCUCGCCCCUCACCAAGGGGGAUUGUAUGCCCGACCAGGAUACUUUCAAUUGGUACCAGAAGAGUCGCUAUGUACAUAGCUAUAGCUUCUUUUUAGGGGCGUUAACUGGCGCAUUGUACCAGGUUCCUGCGUAUGUAGCGGUGGUGCGUGAUGGCGUGAUAUAUGUAAAUAUAUCGCACUAAUCGAGGCUAAGCUGCAGAUAAACAUUAGACGCCGUGGUUGAAAUCCCUCCCUGAGGAACCGCCACGUAAAAUAAAGCUGAGAGAUCAGAUUCAUUCUGUCCCUAUCUACUAUCUAGCGAAACCACAGCCAAGGGAACGGGCUUGGAAUAAUUAGCGGGGAAAGAAGACCCUUUUGAGCUUGACUCUAAUCUGGCAGUGUAAGGAGACAUAAGAGGUGUAGCAUAAGUGGGAGAUAUUAGAUUUCGGUUUGGUAUCGACAAUGAAAUACCACUACUCUUAUUGUUUCCUUACUUACUUGAUUAAAUGGAACGUGUAUCAUUUCCUAGCCAUUAUACGGAUAUAUUUAUUAUAUCUUAUGGUAUUGGGUUUUGAUGCAAGCUUCUUGAUCAAAGUAUCACGAGUUUGUUAUAUAAUCGCAAACAAAUUCUUUAAUGAGAAAAUGCAUUUAUGUAUUUUCAAUUUGAAAAUUUGGUAUAACUCCAAUUACUCAGGUAUGAUCCAAUUCAAGGACAUUGCCAGGUAGGGAGUUUGACUGGGGCGGUACAUCUCUCAAAUAAUAACGGAGGUGUCCCAAGGCCAGCUCAGUGCGGACAGAAACCACACAUAGAGCAAAAGGGCAAAUGCUGACUUGAUCUCGGUGUUCAGUACACACAGGGACAGCAAAAGCUCGGCCUAUCGAUCCUUUUGGUUUAAAGAGUUUUUAACAAGAGGUGUCAGAAAAGUUACCAUAGGGAUAACUGGCUUGUGGCGGCCAAGCGUUCAUAGCGACGUCGCUUUUUGAUCCUUCGAUGUCGGCUCUUCCUAUCAUUGUGAAGCAAAAUUCACCAAGCGUUGGAUUGUUCACCCAUGCAAGGGAACGUGAGCUGGGUUUAGACCGUCGUGAGACAGGUUAGUUUUACCCUACUAAUGACAAAACGUUGUUGCGACAGCAUUCCUGCGUAGUACGAGAGGAACCGCAGGUACGGACCAAUGGCACAAUACUUGUUCGAGCGAACAGUGGUAUGACGCUACGUCCGUUGGAUUAUGCCUGAACGCCUCUAAGGUCGUAUCCGUGCUGGACUGCAAUGAUAAAUAAGGGGCAAUUUGCAUUGU